RNAcentral lists this ribosomal RNA (253 nucleotides) under uncultured bacterium. RNAcentral describes it as "partial 16S ribosomal RNA". It matches the Rfam family "Bacterial small subunit ribosomal RNA", at positions 524 to 776 of the family's 1533-position model. The record is from RNAcentral.
UACGAAGGGGGCUAGCGUUGUUCGGAAUUACUGGGCGUAAAGCGCACGUAGGCGGAUCGAUCAGUCAGGGGUGAAACCCCAGAGCUCAACUCUGGAACUGCCUUUGAUACUGUCGGUCUAGAGUAUGGAAGAGGUGAGUGGAAUUCCGAGUGUAGAGGUGAAAUUCGUAGAUAUUCGGAGGAACACCAGUGGCGAAGGCGGCUCACUGGUCCAUUACUGACGCUGAGGUGCGAAAGCGUGGGUAGCAAACAGG